RNAcentral lists this small RNA (251 nucleotides) under Drosophila yakuba. Its description in RNAcentral is "GE27688". The record is from RNAcentral. Lineage: Eukaryota; Metazoa; Arthropoda; Insecta; Diptera; Drosophilidae.
GUCUCCCCGGUUCGCUAAUCAAAGUAGAAUUUGUAUUCACUCUGUAAACAUGAACUGUCUGAAGAUCUGCGGUUUUUUCUUCGCGCUGAUUGCGGCUUUGUCAACGGCGGAGGCUGCCACCCAAGUCAUUAAUGCUGGCGGACAUACGUUGGUUCAAACUGAUCGCUCGCAGUAUAUUCGCAGAAACUGAAAAGAAACUCAAAUUGAUUAAUUGAUUAAGGAAAUAAAAAUGUGUUAACGCAGAAAAGCUA